RNAcentral lists this unclassified non-coding RNA (332 nucleotides) under soil metagenome. RNAcentral's name for it is "partial contains 5.8S ribosomal RNA, internal transcribed spacer 2, and large subunit ribosomal RNA". The stretch from base 1 to 120 matches the Rfam family "5.8S ribosomal RNA", at positions 35 to 154 of the family's 154-position model. The record is from RNAcentral.
GAUGAAGAACGUAGCAAAAUGCGAUAAGUAAUGUGAAUUGCAGAAUUCAGUGAAUCGUCGAAUCUUUGAACGCACAUUGCGCCCGCCAGUAUUCUGGCGGGCAUGCCUGUUCGAGCGUCAUUUCAACCCUCAAGCCCAGCUUGGUGUUGGGAUCUGUCCUUACCGACAGUCCCCAAAUUGAUUGGCGGUCACGUCGAGCUUCCAUAGCGUAGUAAUUUACACAUCGUUACUGGUAAUCGUCGCGGCCACGCCGUUAAACCCCAACUUCUGAAUGUUGACCUCGGAUCAGGUAGGAAUACCCGCUGAACUUAAGCAUAUCAAUAAGCGGAGGA